This 533-nucleotide ribosomal RNA is filed under the name uncultured bacterium. Its description in RNAcentral is "partial 16S ribosomal RNA". It matches the Rfam family "Bacterial small subunit ribosomal RNA", at positions 355 to 881 of the family's 1533-position model. The record is from RNAcentral.
UGGGGAAUUUUGGACAAUGGGCGAAAGCCUGAUCCAGCAAUGCCGCGUGUGUGAAGAAGGCCUUCGGGUUGUAAAGCACUUUUGUCCGGAAAGAAAUCCUUGGCUCUAAUACAGUCGGGGGAUGACGGUACCGGAAGAAUAAGCACCGGCUAACUACGUGCCAGCAGCCGCGGUAAUACGUAGGGUGCAAGCGUUAAUCGGAAUUACUGGGCGUAAAGCGUGCGCAGGCGGUUUGCUAAGACCGAUGUGAAAUCCCCGGGCUCAACCUGGGAACUGCAUGGUGACUGGCAGGCUAGAGUAUGGCAGAGGGGGGUAGAAUUCCACGUGUAGCAGUGAAAUGCGUAGAGAUGUGGAGGAAUACCGAUGGCGAAGGCAGCCCCCUGGGCCAAUACUGACGCUCAUGCGCGAAAGCGUGGGGAGCAAACAGGAUUAGAUACCCCGGGUAGUCCACGCCCUAAACGAUGUCAACUAGUUGUUGGGGAUUCAUUUCCUUAGUAACGUAGCUAACGCGUGAAGUUGACCGCCUGGGGAGU